RNAcentral lists this non-coding RNA (149 nucleotides) under Arabidopsis thaliana (thale cress). The record is from RNAcentral. Lineage: Eukaryota; Viridiplantae; Streptophyta; Magnoliopsida; Brassicales; Brassicaceae.
GGCUUUACUUUAGAUUCUUCUAGGGUUUCUAGAUUGUAUACCCUAGAUAAGCAUCCUAUAAAGUAAACACAAGUACUUGCAGAGACUUUAGAUUAGAGGGCCAGCGACUGCAGAAGAAGAGUAACACGUCAUCUCUGUGCUUCUUUGUC